CACCACGUUGGCCAAGCUGGUCUUGAACUCCUGACCUCAGGUGAUCCACCCACCUCGGCUUCCCAAAGUGUUGGGAUUACAGGCAUGAGCCACUGUGCCCAGCCACAUCCUAACUUUUGAUAACAUGCCACAAUCUUUCUUUACUGUCCUCUCAAAGAGGUUAAAUACUAUUUUCAUAAUGAGUUAUAAUUGGGAAGUUUUCUCAUGUCAAAUAUAAAAACAAAAUCAUAUAGUUCAUCGACUCACUUAUGUUUUACCAGGCGUUUUUAUUACAAAUUAUUGUUUAGUCAACACUUUAAAGUGUGUCCUAAAUUUUCCUAAGUUUUAUUAAUAGAUGAUGAUAUUGAUGAUGAAAUGUUUGAUGAUCACCAUUUAAAGGAUUAUUUUGAACAACUGGCAAUUCCAGGAGGGAUGGAAUUAACCAUAUGAAGAUCUAGAAGGACUGGAGCCUCCAGAAAAAGAUUGGACAUUACCUGCAAGUGCUCCUAGUCAGGAAUGUUCCAGUCUUUGUGGCUUUUCCGAAAUUUGACAUUAGAAAAUCACUAUUGUUCUCAUUGGAUGUUCACAUGAAAGUUAAGCCUCUGGUUUUCUUUGGACUCCAUUUUUUCCAGGCAAAUGAAAACCACAGUUUAAACUCUAAGUUUCAAUCAGAAACUAACAGCUCCUGGAUUUCCCGUGGCUCACACUCUUCUGAAACAACUCACAAAGAGCCUGAGGAAGCAGUUCUCCCUUAUAAGUGGGCCAGUUUAUUUGUCUCCCUGGGACUAGCGGAGUCUCGCUCUGUCGCCCCGGGCUGG
This is a long non-coding RNA of Piliocolobus tephrosceles (Ugandan red Colobus), 797 nucleotides long. RefSeq lists it as uncharacterized. Lineage: Eukaryota; Metazoa; Chordata; Mammalia; Primates; Cercopithecidae. The transcript has 3 exons. The record is from RefSeq and is a predicted model, not a curated record.